CAGUCUUUUGCUUUAAUUAUAUGAGGUACUUGUUUAAUCAUUCUCAUACACAGCACUCUGAAUAGCCUCGUCUUGAAGAGGAAUUGCUUAAUGUUUGAGGAGUGUCAAACCUGGAGGCAGCAGAGUAGAAGAGAGAGAGAGGAGAGGUUCAUCAACUUCAGGGCAAAACCAACAAAAGACUGCUUCCAUUCCUGAAUAUAGAAACUUCAAAAUUAACGUCCAGGUACUUUCCAGACUGUCGCCCACAACCCAUCCAAAGGAACAAACACUUCUUCCUUAUGGACUCUGUGCCUAUCCCAGAACUAGCCCACUUCACCUGCCACCCACGUAAGUUAUAGCCAAUGUAAAUUCUUUCAAAACAACUUAUAGCUUUCUUCCAUUCCUUGAUGUACAAAAA
Molecule: long non-coding RNA, 397 nt
Filed under: Rhinolophus ferrumequinum (greater horseshoe bat)
Lineage: Eukaryota; Metazoa; Chordata; Mammalia; Chiroptera; Rhinolophidae
Description: lncRNA (ENSRFEG00010007899.1)
Source: RNAcentral